Long non-coding RNA from Drosophila sulfurigaster albostrigata, 2031 nucleotides. RefSeq lists it as uncharacterized. NCBI's taxonomy places the organism in Eukaryota, Metazoa, Arthropoda, Insecta, Diptera, Drosophilidae. The transcript has 2 exons. The record is from RefSeq and is a predicted model, not a curated record.
AUUUAUUAUGAAAUCGGUGCAGCUACAUUUUAUAUUUACAAUUUAAAAUUGUGUGUUAUGAGUUUUAAAAUGCUCGUCUCAAAUUUUUGAAUUAUAAUAAUUAUUCCUUUAUUUUUAUUAUAAUUUGUGGCGUAGAAUAAGUUAGAAAUAUGCUAAGAUCGAGAAAUGAUGUAGAAACAUAUUCAAAUUGAGAUCACAAAAUAAAAUAUUCAAUUAAGCUUAAAAAUUCUACAAUAAUUCUUGGUUGACCAUUUUUAAAAUUAAAGAAAAGAUCGCAAAAGAUAUACAUCCCAAGAUUUUCAUUUAAGUUUUUAGAACUUAACUUUUAUGUAUGCGUAUGACCUAGAAGAAAAUUGCUAUAAAAUUUGUUGGCUCUGGCUUUUGUGGUUUUUAAGAUUUUCGUGUUCAAAGGGACGGACAGACAGAGCGACGGAUGGCCAAGGCAAUAAAGCUCUGCGGUCACAGUUAAUUCUGCUGAUUGUGUCUGCUGCACAUCUUGCCCAAUUGUGCAUAAAUUGAAAUACCCUCUUACUCAACAGCUAGCGGGUAUGCACAACAGCAACAAGACGUCACACAAACAAAACAAAAAUGACGAGUACGCGAAUACUCGAACCUUUUGUGCUACUGCAGUUGAAUAACUGUUUUGUCGCGGCCUCUUCGUGUUGCCAAGCGCGCUUAGAACUUAUGCUUGUCACUGCCUGUGUGUGUGUUGUGUGUGUUUGUGUGUGUGCGCGUGCAUGCGAUGAUGUGCGCAAAGCGCUUGAAGUGUCUGUGACGAGCAACGAAGAGCGAAGAGCGAAGAACGAGGUACGAGUGUAUUUCAUUGAAUGUUGCAAUCAAUUUUAAGCGAUUAUUAAGUGGAGCUUGAACUUAUUUAAUAGAUAGAUCGCAGCGAGCAGGCAAUAGAUUGAUUUAACAACAACAACAAUAGCAAUAAUAGCAACAGCUGCAUUAGUUUUCAACACUCAGUCGAGGUAUUAAUUAUUCCUUCGCACUAUCUGUGAUAACGUCAAAUUGUUACCCAUUUCUAUGGCUCCAUGCAACAUGAGGCACGCACAAUGCCUUGCAACAACAACAUCAACGACUGCACUCUUUUCUUACUGCAUUACCAACACCAUCUGUGGUCGCAAAUUGAGGUGAGUGAACUUGCAACAACAAGCGAGUUGGCAGCACUUAGUUGCCAGCGAGUUGGCAGCACAAUUUUUCGCCCAUUUUGCCAUCGUUGUCGUUGUUGUACACUUAAGACCCAAAAAGCUGCUCAGAAGCAGGCGUUUGAUAGACGUAAAAAAAAGAAGUGGGUAUAAUAACUAUGACUAUAAGGUAGUAAAAGGUUCUUUUUUCCUUUUUUGUUGGUUAUUAGUUAUUUACCUUUAUCUAUCAUUAUCAGUAUCGUAAUCUAUACUUAAUGCUUGCUUCGCAUUCUAUUUGUUCUAAUCAAGAAAAGUAGUGUAAUUAGGCAGACACUGUGGCAACAACUUGAACUUAUGAGUGGAGUCUGGCAAAGUGCUUGUAAUCGAAGGAAAUGGGGGGUGGGGAGGGGGCAGGAAAAGUUGCACAGUUGCACACACAUUUUCCACCUUAAUGUUUCGAAGGGUAAACAAAAAAGCUCGUUUUACAUUUUCCUGCUUUUCCCCAUUGUUCUUGUUUUGUGGCAUUGUUGUUUUCCAUCGGUGUGUUUGUGUGUGUGUGUGUGUAUGUGUGUGUGCAACGUGGGACGCUUAAUCUACAUUGCUAUUUUCGUUCUUCUUGCUGUUGUUGUGUUUCAGGUUUUUCUGCUUAAAAAGUUUGCUUUUAAUUACACCAUUUUCAGCUUACGUACUCUCGUAUUACAAUGUUCGUUGAUUUUUCUGACCAUUUCACUCCAGUCUCUGUUUCUGCUUUUGGCGGCUUCGUCUUUGAUUCCUGCAACUUUUCAGGCAUUUAAUUAUAAAGUCCGCAGAUUUUCAAUAAAAGUUUCUCAACGUUUUGUUAUCGUGGUCAGGCUUCCUUCAUUUGCAGCCAGAUAGCAACCAAAAAAAAAAAAAAAGUAAA